UUUUCGGCGACGAAAGGGUCUGAAGGAAGCUGAUGGCGGCUGUUGGAACGUAACGCAAGUGAACCAGUGUUGGCGUAUGUAGUGGACAACUCUCCACGAAAUGGGGACAUCCUAAAAUUAGCUUAGCUACAUGCGUUAUGAUGGACGUUUUAACAACAGGCAGAGCAACUU
This 171-nucleotide non-coding RNA is filed under the name Anaerovirgula multivorans. Lineage: Bacteria; Bacillati; Bacillota; Clostridia; Peptostreptococcales; Natronincolaceae. The record is from RNAcentral.